UAAUACGUAGGAGGCGAGCGUUAUCCGGAUUUACUGGGCGUAAAGCGGGCGUAGGCGGUCCUUCAAGUCGGAUGUAAAAUCUCCCGGCUCAACUGGGAGGGACCAUUCGAAACUGCUGGGCUUGAGGAUAGCAGAGGGAGGUGGAAUUCCCGGUGUAGUGGUGAUAUGCGUAGAUAUCGGGAGGAACACCAGUGGCGAAGGCGGCCUCCUGGGCUAUUUCUGACGCUGAGGCCCUAAAGCGUGGGGAGCGAACAGGAUUAGAUACCCUGGUAGUCCACGCCGUAAACGAUGGACACUAGGUAUGGGGAGUAUCGACCCUCUCCGUGCCGAAGCUAACGCCUUAAGUGUCCCGCCUGGGGACUACGGCCGCAAGGCUA
This 377-nucleotide ribosomal RNA is filed under the name uncultured bacterium. Its description in RNAcentral is "bacterial SSU rRNA". It matches the Rfam family "Bacterial small subunit ribosomal RNA", at positions 521 to 896 of the family's 1533-position model. The record is from RNAcentral.